CCUACGGGAGGCAGCAGUUUCGAAUCGUUCACAAUGGGGGCAACCCUGAUGGCGCGACGCCGCGUGGGGGAUGAAGGUCUUCGGAUUGUAAACUCCUGUCAUUGGGGACUAAUGGCCAGGCUCAUACCCUGGUUUGAAUUAACCCAAAGAGGAAGCAGUGGCUAACUCUGUGCCAGCAGCCGCGGUAAUACAGAGACUGCAAGCGUUACUCGGAUUCACUGGGCGUAAAGGGAGCGCAGGCGGACUCAUGUGUCGGACGUGAAAUACCGGGGCUUAACCCCGGUGCUGCGCCCGAAACUAUGAGUCUAGAGACUUGGAGGGUAAGCGGAAUUCUUGGUGGAGCAGUGAAAUGCGUAGAUAUCAAGAGGAACACCAACGGCGAAGGCAGCUUACUGGACAAGAUCUGACGCUCAGGCUCGAAAGCGUGGGGAGCAAAAGGGAUUAGAUACCCUGUAGUCCACGCUGUAAACGGUGCGCAUUAGGUCUUGGAGCUUUCGAACGCUCCAGGGCUCAAGCUAACGCGAUAAAUGCGCCGCCUGAGGACUACGGCCGCAAGGCAAAACGUCAAAGGAAUUGACGG
Molecule: ribosomal RNA, 580 nt
Filed under: uncultured bacterium
Lineage: Bacteria
Description: bacterial SSU rRNA
Rfam family: Bacterial small subunit ribosomal RNA
Source: RNAcentral